This 196-nucleotide non-coding RNA is filed under the name Planctomycetaceae bacterium. RNAcentral's name for it is "6S RNA". It matches the Rfam family "6S / SsrS RNA". From Rfam's summary of the family: E. coli 6S RNA was the first non coding RNA to be sequenced, but its function was unknown until recently. The record is from RNAcentral. Lineage: Bacteria; Pseudomonadati; Planctomycetota; Planctomycetia; Planctomycetales; Planctomycetaceae.
GAACCUCUGCGGUGUUCGAUACGAAACAAGUGCGUUAACCCUACAAAUUAGUUUUUAGGAAGUCGGCUCGGUUUGGCCGCGUGUCUGUCCGCGAAGAGGCUUCGGCAGCUUCCGGAUGACGCAACCCGGAUUGGCGGCUUCCCCCUGAACUUCUGGGUUCAGUACAGCGGUUUCGACCGGCACAGGCGGAGGUUUC